Molecule: ribosomal RNA, 355 nt
Filed under: Minchinia chitonis
Lineage: Eukaryota; Endomyxa; Ascetosporea; Haplosporida; Haplosporidiidae
Description: partial Eukaryotic large subunit ribosomal RNA
Rfam family: Eukaryotic large subunit ribosomal RNA
Source: RNAcentral
GGGAACGUGAGCUGGGUUUAGACCGUCGUGAGACAGGUUAGUUUUACCCUACCGUUGGCCGUGCUCCAAGAGUAACCGGAUUCAGUACGAGAGGAACCAUCCGAUCACGCAUUUGGUAAUGCGCUCGGCUGAAAAGCCGAUGGCGCGAAGCUACGCGUGACAUGCUAACAGCUGAACGCCUCUAAGCUUGGUAGCAGUCCUCGAUGGAGCACCACCUACCGGUCCGUCGUUAACCGACUACGUAUAGUUUUAUGAAUAGCAUUGCGAUCGCAAUUCCGAACGGCCGGACCGAUACAUCCAUUGCAGACGACUUUAAUGCGCUGCCGGGUACUGUAAGUAGCAGAGUAGCCUUGCU